This 8377-nucleotide long non-coding RNA is filed under the name Malus domestica (apple). RNAcentral describes it as "long non-coding RNA (MDOM_LNC008537)". Lineage: Eukaryota; Viridiplantae; Streptophyta; Magnoliopsida; Rosales; Rosaceae. The record is from RNAcentral.
AUCCAUUGUCCAUGGAUUCACUAUUUAGGACAUAUAUCGUUUAUUGAGAUAGUCCUAAUUAGUAUCUUCGCCAUUUGAUGUAUAAGAAUCAUCUAUACAUCCAUUCAUUUGUCCUGAAAGGUUUCUUCCAAAGAUUGACUUUCAGGGCAUAUUUCUGAAGGAUUAUUUUGUGAAAACAUGUUCAUUUAAGCAACAUCUAUAAGCAUGCAAUUAACAAUUAAAGGUGGAAUCAUGCUUGCAUGCACUUAAAAACAAAACAUUAACCAUGAAAUUCAAAGCCUAGUAGAUUGGUGAACUAAAACUCAACUCAAAACAAAGUGAGUUGAAAUUGUACCUUUGUAGAUUCCUCUUUGCAUAAGCAAAGGCUAAUCACCCAAAGAGAGGGCCUUCAUUCCUUGCAUCUAAAAUCUAUGGAUUUGGAUGGAUGAAUAGGUUUCUCCAAGUUCCCAAAAUUGAGAACCUCUAAGUCUCUUCACCAAGGAGAGAUUGGAGAAGAAAUGAGUGACCUUGGAGUAGUGGGAUUGCAAGAUGCACCCCCAAGGUGGCCGGCCUCUUUAGAGAGAAAUGGAGAGACAAGUUCUCACCAAUUUUCUCCAAAACAAACCCUUUAUGAAUUUUGGCUAUAAAGUCAUAUUUAUACCUUUAUUCAUUUGAGUGGCAAACUUGUAAAUAAGUCCAAGUUCACUACCCUAACCAAUAUGGCCGGCCAUUAGGAUAUUUUGGACUAAUUGGGCCUUUGUGAAUCAUUAUUCAUUAAGUUGUCAUACAACUUAAUGUUAAUGGGCUUGACGUUCGAAGCCCAUUGGGCCUUAAGGUCCAAAACUAUCCCGAGGUCUUUAACGAACUUAUUCGUUUGAUUAAUUAACAUAUUAAUUAAUCCUUGCCAUAAAUAAAUGAUUAAACCAUUUAAUCAUUCUUACUCAUCUCCAUUGUUUCUUCAAUCUCCUCCUUACACGGUGUGCGAUCCAUUAGGUUCCUUUUAGCGAGGCAGUGGGCGAUUAAAACCAUUUUACAUCGAUUGUGAAUUGAAACUUACUUUCAAUUCUCCCUUUAGUGAUUACACAUGUUUAGGGCUUCCACAAACCAUGAGUGACACCUUGCAGCAUAUCAUGGUUACCCAAGCUAAUCAGAAAGAGGUAGAGAAAACCUAUUCAGUUUGGGAUUACAAAUGCAAUACGGUCUUUCUCUAAUCUAAUACUCCUGACCACAUUGUUUGGUUUGAUAGUUUAUUUAUUCCAUGUCUACUAUCCAAUGUGAUUCGUGUGCUUAUAUGAUUUCCUUGAAUGUGAUUUAGAACGACUUUUCUAAAUCUCAUUCAUACUCUGGCCAGAGAUUCUAAAUCAUAUCAUAGAGUAUUCUCCCUCAAACGGUUUGAAGGUUAGAAGAUCCCUUGUUGCGCAUUCACUUGCCUCCAUGACUAAGUGGCUUAACCCUAACGAUGCCGUGGACACCUCGAUGGGGUGACUUUGACAUAAUCAAAGAUCAAGGACUUAACCACAAGACAACUGUGAUGCCUCAGGUCAAAGGACUAAUUUGCAUUAUCCCAAACAUGAGUUCUCAUGUGACAUGAGUAUGAGAACUCUUCGUUGAUCGCGUUUAGUGAACUCAUUCUCUACUGAGCACCUACGUACUUGUCUUGAUGUCACACACACCAAUGACUCGAGACUAGUCACUCUCCCUGAGAGAAGACAUAGCACGUACCGAUCUUGACGGACUGUCAAUGCCUAAUUGGCAAUCCUAUGAUCAAGAACAUUUAGGAUGUGUCUACGAAAGAAUGGUCUCAUGAAUCUAACUUCAUUAGAUUACAUUCUCCCAAUCACAUAUUCCUUGGACUUUAUCGUUUAAGCAUAUAACAUUUAUAUGAGACGGCUCAAACAAUAAUCUUUGCCCUUUAUAGUUAAACUAGAUUAGUUUAACAUGUGAAAUGUCCGUAAAGUAUCAUCAUAUGAUUGGCUUUAGGGCACAUUUCCAACAAUCUCCCACUUGCACUAGAGCCAAUCAGCUUAGUCAUCAGUGAUGAUACCUCUUCUGUAGUCAUUUCAUAAAUGGCUGAAUAGUAGGCCUAGGCAAUGGAUAUCUAUAUGUUAUCCAUAGAAGCAACCUUGAGAAUAACGACGUCACCAUUAUACAUGAUUCUCAAUCAUGUGGUUCAGUCUCUCAUAUGAGUUCGGAUCUUGAUGAGACCUUGAUUCCCUGGCUUGAGCUAUCGCCCCAUUAGUGUCAUACACUUUCUGGUUGGAACCGAAUAGAGAGUUCAUAAAUGAACUUUCCCAUCCAAACAACAUUGUUGUAAGCUUCUAUAUGGCAAUAUAUUUUGCAUUCAUAAUGGAACACACUAAAGUCAUUACUUUAAUGUUUCCAUCCAAAUAUCUCUUUAGUCAUAAUAAAGAGAUAUCCGUUUAUCUCUUCAUUCAUAAUGAAGAAACAUCCAAUGAUGGAUUAGAUUCAUAAUCUAAUACAUUUACGCUUCCAUUACGUUACUCUAAUUCUUCCUCGAUCUUUGAGGAAUCUAUCCUUCAGUAUUUCUUAAAUACUUAAGGACUCACUUGACAGUUGCCAUGGUUCUGAUCCUGGGCUUGCACUGAUAUCGUCUUGUACCGUUCUAGGUACAACUCAUAUCAAUGUUUUUCAUACAAUAUGAAAUACAUAAAUCACCUUCUGCUUAUGCAUAAAGGAUUCUAUUUACGCAUUAUUUCUUUGGGAGUCAAAGGGCACGUUCCCUUUGAGAAGGGCAACUUGCUAGUCACACUAGAGUCAUCCUUCUAAUUGAAGUUUAUUAUCAUAUGAGAAACUUCCUAGCACCUUUUGUCUAUUAGUAGGGAUUGAUAUAAUCAAAUUAUAUCUUGAAAUCUAUCAUUAUAGAUUUACUUCCCAUGUUUAUAGACAAUGUCUCCCAUAUACAUUCUAUCGUUUAUAGAAUGUUUAAAGUCAUAACUUUAACGAAGAAAUAUUCUUUUCAUUUCCAAAAUUAAUAUAUCAUAUAUACAUUCAUAUAAAUCACAUAUAUAUUUAUAUAUAUAUAUAUACACAAAUUUAGGAAUAUGAUUAACUCCCACUAAUCUUUUGUAAACCUAGUAAACAAAAGAUUCAUUUACAUCUUUAUGAGAAAUCAAACGAUUUGACCUUUCUCUCAUAAGACGCUUAUAGCUCCCACUAGCUUGCUAAGAUCCAUGAUGGAUGGAUCUCUACAACUUACAUGUCUUGUGAUUCAUAGUUUUAGACAUAUAUUAUUAAGACUAUCUUAAUAAUGGUUUCGGAAACCCAUAUUAUGUCCAAACAUUGAAUCACCAUUUAGUUGUAGCUAGCAAUCUUCGAAUUAAUUGAAACCAAGACUACGUCAAAGAUGGUUUCUUCAAAGUCAACCAUUCCUUUUGAUUGUAGUUCACCUUAAGCUACCAAUUAGCUUAUGAAGGUUUCAUUAUUUCGGGUCAAAUGGUACUUUACCAUUUUCUUGAGUAUAUAUCAUAUAUACACUCAAAGUAGUCAUAAGGAUUUUCAUUCUUAUUUCCUUCGAAUUAAGAGGUGCAACUCUAUGACAUAGUCAUAAAGUUCAAACCAUUCAACUGAGACGAUUUAUAAUCCUUCUCGACUACCUUGGAGCUUUUGGUAUAGGAACUAGGUUGUUUAUAUUUGUUGAUUACUUUCUUGUCUCUCAAAGAACCCAUUCUUUGAGUUCUAUCUCUUGUUCAUUUGCUUUUAGGCAAAUCACAUUGUAGGAUUACAAUGAACUACCCAACAAAACAACAUUUGUUAGUUGGUUUAUAGAAGCGAUAUCCAAAAGUUAAUUUAAGGAUAUCCAAAAGUUAAUUUAAGGAUAUCCUACAAGAUUGUUAUCAAACAAAUAUUGCUUAUUUGCACACAACCCCAAAUCUUAACAUGCUUAAGAUUUGUCUUUCUUUCCAACUACAUCUUAUGGAGUCAUGAAAAAUUUUGGAAGAUCUUCUCAUUGACAAUCAUAUUGUUUUAGAAGUAUAUAUCCUAUAUAUGGGUAAUAGAUAACAUCUAACGAACUAAAUCUUAUUCGAGUUCGUUCUUCUCCUAAUGGAGAAAUACAUUAUCUUAUGAUGCUAUUUUCCUUGAUAUCUUUCAAGGAAACUCAUCUAAAGUGUUACCUUUCCUUGGAUCAAAUCUAAGGAGGUAAAUACUUUAGAUGUCUUACUCAUCAACUUACAUUUCUUGAAUUCUUUGAAACAUUUUGCAAAGUAUUCGGACUUGUGUUUAUUCAAAAUAAACUAUAGUCCAACCGAGAGUGAUCUUCGGUGAAUGUCAUCCAACAUGAGUAGUAUUAUGUUGUGGACAAGUGCCACUAACAUCUAAGUGAAUUAACCUCAACAACUUUGUGAUUCUUUCUUCUUUCCAAAAGAAUAAAGAUUCGAACAUUUCGCCUCUAUACAAUUUUAACAAGAAGGUAUUGGAUCCGGAUCUAACGAUCCAAAGCGUCCAUCUAUGACCAACUCGUAAUUUAUGUUUUUAGAGGUAUCACAACUUUAGUUGGGAUUAGUCACUAUCUUGCAACCUUUUGGGUUUUAAGCAUCAUUGUAUUCUAAACAGUUAACACUACCAUAUCAUCUCUACUAUAGAGAUAAUUAAUUAGAUUACAAUAAUCUAAUCAUUGAUUAAUAAAGAACAAUGUUUUGUCAAACAAAACAUUUAUCCAUUUCACUAUAGUGACGGAAUUUAGUUCCUUAAAAUUGGAAUAUAAAGACAAUCUAUGUUUUUCCAAUUUCUUUGGUAGUUCAUAUGAGGAAGUAAGUACCAUCUGCUUUCGCAGAGAUCUACAUUUGAUUCACGUUUCGAAUGUGAAGUACUUUCUCUUCUCUCAUUAAUCUUCUACUUCUUAUUAGCCACACUUUUACAACGAUUGUAAAACAUAGUUACUAAUACGGAAUCAAGCAUUCAAGUAGAAGAACCAACUGUUUUGAACUAUUCAAGAACAAUUUACAACACCUUCGAAAGGUGUGUUUCUUGACACUUGCAAGACAUUUCUUGCAAAUACCCCUUCCAAUGUCCAUCCUUUCAUAAAGAAAGUUUGUUCCCUUGGAGUUAUUUUAUCUUCUUCAUUUGACUUCUCCUUUGACUACAAUAGUCAUGGUCCCUAAACUCCCACUAUCUCUCUUGAAACUUAUUUCAAUUGUGUUAUACACAUCAAACAUUUUUGGAGAGCAUGUGGUUAUUGUUCACUACAUAGUUUACAAUAAACUUAGUGAACCAUUAAGGAUAGGGACACAAAGGUGAAGUCCUUGCCUAGUUUCCGUCUCGUUAAGUGGUUUAUCACUUCAACACUCAAUGAUUCAAAAUCAUCAUAAGUCCAUGUUAAUGGACUAUUUUUGUCAACCAACCAUUAUGUUCUAAACAUAAUUACAAACCUUCAAGAGUUGUACAAGGCAACUCUCAUUUCUUCAUACAACAAUUUGUAAGUGAAGAAUCAUGGCACAUAAAGUGUCCAUGCCUUUGUGCUUUCUUCUCAAGUUCUUUGUUCAUUUAACAAAGAAACAAGCACUAAGUGUUUGCAUUGACUAAGGGUUGUUCAAAGCAACUAUUAUUUCUUCAUACAACGAUUUGUAAGUGAAGAACUAAUAACACUAAAAGUGUCCUUGUCAUUAUGCUAAUCUUCGUAAGUUCCUUUGUUCAUUUAACAAAGGAUUAAGCAUUGGUUGGUUUGUGUUGUCCUCUUCAUGAUAGACUUUCUAACAUGUUCUUUUCCAAUGAUACAUUAUCAAUAGGAAGAUUUGUGAGGAUGAGACUACUUAGGUACAUAUACAAUCCAUUUUAAGACAAUCUUUGGGAUUGUGUUACCAAGUCCGGAAACUAAAGCAUUCGGCUUUUCUUUGUCAAGUUUUGGAUAGCGUUUGCAAAUAUAUUGGUUAACAAAUACAUAAUGAAUAUAAAUUGAUUGAUUUUAAGCCAUUUGAUUCGGGUCUUUAAAUCAAAUAACACCACCCACUAUUUUUGGCAAAUUCCAUAUCCCUCAUUGGAAUUCGAGAGUUUUGGAUGAAACUCCUAGUAGGGUAUGGGAGGCUCACUAUUACCAAGCCCACCUCACAAUGAUAUGAUAUUGGCUAGCAUUAAUAAUAAUGAGAGAGUACGCUUACUCAUUUGCAACUAAUGCAAGUACCCAUCUUAUUUGGCCUCUAGAGAAUGUCACCUCACAAUGAUAUGAUGUUGGCUCCAUUGCACUUAGUUAAGUCAUUCCCACCAUGCUUAGUUCAUGAAGGGGUUCAAGAAUAGCCUCACAAUGAUAUGAUAUUGGCCAUCCUCGUUGCCUACAUCAACCUCAUCAUAUGUUUAUGGAUUCCUCCUGAGUAUAAGCAUGCACUUUGUACUCCCCCAUGAUAGGGUGAAGCCGGUGUACAAGUCAUAAACGAUUGGAUCCCACCACGGUGGAAGGCCUACGAAAGAGUGUUCUAAGCACUCUCACGCUUAUCAACUUAAUAAUGGUUUGGUUGAGGGUUUUAGGUCUCAUCACAUAUAAACAUACAUUUUAAUCUCUAUUAAAACAAUUUUGGUCCUAUUACAACUAUUGGUCCAUAUGAUUGUUUUUAGUUGUAUAUAAUACUCCCACUAUGCUUAUAAAACGGUUUUUUAAAGCAAGAGUAUAUGAUACUACUAACAUAACCUUUGCAUUCAUUUGAUGGACUAUAUAGUUGCCUUAGGGCCUUAGGAUGAUUAUGAACCUUUGUUUAGAUUCAACACGAGCCUUGUGUUGAAUCUCGGUCUAGGGAUGGUGAUUGAUUUUAGUUACGCGUUUAAUCACAUUAAGGCGUGUUGUCUUAGGGGCGUUGGACCCAACUACUUCAUUUUCAUGCAUAUCAAAUAAAGCAAGAAAGAAGUACUUCAAAGUAAAGGUGAGCUUAUGCUCAUUACAACAUUUGCAUAAAACAAAUUACUUUAAAGUAAAGAAGAGCUUAUGCCCUUUUACAACAUUUGAUCAAAUCAAAUUACAACCAAAAUCUAAUCUACACAUUCCCAUGGUUCAAACAAAUUUGAAACGGCCUUUCACAUAGCUCAAUUAUAUUAGGCUUAGGUUCAUAAUCACCCUUUAAUUAAUUAACACUUUAACUAAUUAAAUUGAAUGCAACAUUUUCAUUUGGUUUUUGUAUCCAUAAAAUUGAUUUAAAUGGAGCUAAACAAAAUGAAAAUCCAAUUCUCAUUUAAAGAGACAAAACAAUUUUGUUCUCUACCUAAUUUGGGCCAAUAUGCAAUAACCACAACUUUUGGGCCAUAAAGCAAUUAACCUCAAUUUUUGGGCUAUAUUGCAAAACUUUUGGGGUCACUUUGUAAAGACACAAAAGUCCACUACUUCAUGUAAUUACAACUAGAACCCAAAAUUUAAUCAAUGCAAAAACUUCAUUAAAGGAGCAAAACAAUUUGUCCUUUAGCGUUUUUGGACCUAAACGUAAAAACGUAAACUUUUGGGCCAAAGUGCAAAUACACAAAAGUAUCAAAACUUUAUGUAAUUGCAUAAAAGCCCCAAAAGUACCCCCACUUAGGGGGUGGCCGGUUUUGGAAGAGGAUAAGUGAUGUGUGUGUUGAUUUGUGAGUUUUGACAUAAAGCAUGCAAGUGCACAAGUGGUGUGUGUGAAAGGGAAUUAAAUCCUUUCACACCCACCAUUAUUUCUAAUGCCAUUUAAACAAAUAUCUAAAACAUUUUAAACAUUUGAAAAAGCAUAAAACAUAAACUUUAUGAAAUAAAUCAAAACUUUGAAUCAAAAACACAAACCUUUUUGUUCUUGGCAAAAAUGUCAAGAACAAUGAAGAACAUUCAUGAAAAACCCAAAAUUUUUCCAUGAAAACUUUUUCACCCAAAAACAUUCCAAAACCAUUCAAACUUUAGGGAAAUAACAUCUAACCAAACUAGGGUACAUAGGGGUUCCAAAAGUCACUUGAAAACACUUUUAACAAGUCAAACAAGAACCCAAAAAUCCACCCUUUGGAUUUGGCCGAACAUCCCCAAAGUCAUGGCACCAAAUUUUUAGCUCCAAUAUUCAUGCUCUUAUGAACUACAUCUACAACAUUUGAGAUGGCAAAUUUUCUAACAAAAUUUACAUUCAAAGAAACAAGAAUAAAGCUUGUAACAAUUACAACUUUUAAAUCACAAACUAUGAACUACAAAACACAAAAGGAUUCACCAACUACUAGACCUAGGCUCUGAUACCACUUGAAGGAUUAUUUUGUGAAAACAUGUUCAUUUAAGCAACAUCUAUAAGCAUGCAAUUAACAAUUAAAGGCGGAAUCAUGCUUGCAUGCACUUAAAAACAAAACAUUAACCAUGAAAUUCAAAGCCUAGUAGAUUGGUGAACCAAAACUCAACUCAAAACAAAGUGAGUUGAAAUUAUACCUUUGUAGAUUCCUCUUUGCAUAAGCAAAGGCUAAUCAC